GAUGAACGCUGGCGGCGUGCCUAAUACAUGCAAGUCGAGCGAACAGACCAGGACCUUGCUCCUCUGACGUUAGCAGCCGACGGGUGAGUAACACGUCGAUAACCUACCUAUAAGACUGGGAGAACAUCGGGAAACCGGAGCUAAUACCGGAUAACAUAUUGAACCGCAUGGUUCAACCGUGAAAGACGGUCUUGCUGUCACUUAUAGAUUGAUCCGCGCCGCAUUGGAUAGUGGGUAAGGUAGCGGGUUACCCAGGCUAGGAUGCGAAGCCGACCUGAGCGGGUGAACGGCUAGACGGGAACUGAGACAGGGCACAGACUCCUACGGUAGGACGCAGUCGGGAAUCUUCCGCAAGGGGCGAAAGCCUGACGUAACAAAGCGGCGGGAGUGAUGAAGGUCUUCGGAUGGGAAAACUCUGUUAUUAGGGAAGAACAAAUGUGUAAGUAACUGUGCAGGUAUUGACGGUACCUACUGAGAAAGCCACGGCUAACUACGUG
This 497-nucleotide ribosomal RNA is filed under the name uncultured bacterium. RNAcentral's name for it is "partial 16S ribosomal RNA". It matches the Rfam family "Bacterial small subunit ribosomal RNA", at positions 28 to 507 of the family's 1533-position model. The record is from RNAcentral.